ACGGGGUGCAGCAGGCGCGAAAACUUCACACUGUGCGAAAGCGCGAUGAGGGAAUCCCAAGUGUUUGCUCGUAAGAGUAAACUGUUUCUUUGUUUAAAACGCAUUGAGAGUAAGGGCUGGGUAAGACGGGUGCCAGCCGCCGCGGUAAUACCUGCAGCUCGAGUGGUGGCCGCUAUUAUUGGGCCUAAAACGUCCGUAGCCGGUUUAGUAAAUGCCUGGGUAAAUCGUGUAGCUCAACUAUACGAAUUCCGGGUAGACUGCUAAACUUGAGACCGGGAGAAGUUAGAGGUACUCCUGGGGUAGAGGUGAAAUUCUGUAAUCCUAGGGGGACCACCAGUGGCGAAGGCGUCUGACUAGAACGGGUCUGACGGUGAGGGACGAAGCCCUGGGGCGCGAACCGGAUUAGAUACCCGGGUAGUCCAGGGUGUAAACGCUACUUGCUUGAUGUUGGUUGGGCUCCGAGCCCAAUCAGUGUCGGAGAGAAGUUGUUAAGCAAGCUGCCUGGAAGUACGUCGCAAGAC
This 521-nucleotide ribosomal RNA is filed under the name uncultured archaeon. Its description in RNAcentral is "bacterial SSU rRNA". It matches the Rfam family "Archaeal small subunit ribosomal RNA", at positions 325 to 849 of the family's 1478-position model. The record is from RNAcentral.